AGUGAACGCUGGCGGUAGGCCUAACACAUGCAAGUCGAACGGCAGCACAGUAAGAGCUUGCUCUUACGGGUGGCGAGUGGCGGACGGGUGAGGAAUACAUCGGAAUCUACUUUUUCGUGGGGGAUAACGUAGGGAAACUUACGCUAAUGCCGCAUACGACCUACGGGUGAAAGCAGGGGAUCUUCGGACCUUGCGCGAUUGAAUGAGCCGAUGUCGGAUUAGCUAGUUGGCGGGGUAAAGGCCCACCAAGGCGACGAUCCGUAGCUGGUCUGAGAGGAUGAUCAGCCACACUGGAACUGAGACACGGUCCAGACUACUACGGGAGGCAGCAGUGGGGAAUAUGGGACAAUGGGCGCAAGCCUGAUCCAGCCAUACCGCGUGGGUGAAGAAGGCCUUCGGGUUGUAAAGCCCUUUUGUUGGGAAAGAAAAGCAGCAGGUUAAUACCCCGCUGUUCUGACGGUACCCAAAGAAUAAGCACCGGCUAACUUCGUG
RNAcentral lists this ribosomal RNA (492 nucleotides) under uncultured bacterium. RNAcentral describes it as "partial 16S ribosomal RNA". It matches the Rfam family "Bacterial small subunit ribosomal RNA", at positions 29 to 507 of the family's 1533-position model. The record is from RNAcentral.